RNAcentral lists this ribosomal RNA (253 nucleotides) under uncultured bacterium. Its description in RNAcentral is "partial 16S ribosomal RNA". It matches the Rfam family "Bacterial small subunit ribosomal RNA", at positions 524 to 776 of the family's 1533-position model. The record is from RNAcentral.
UACAGAGGGGGCAAGCGUUGUUCGGAAUUACUGGGCGUAAAGCGCGUGUAGGCGGCUCGGUAAGUCCGCUCUGAAAGCCCGGGGCUCAACCCUGGGAGGCGGGUGGAUACUGCUGAGCUCGAGUCCGGAAGAGGCGAGUGGAAUUCCUGGUGUAGCGGUGAAGUGCGCAGAUAUCAGGAGGAACACCAAUGGCGAAGGCAGCUCGCUGGGACGGUACUGACGCUGAGACGCGAAAGCGUGGGGAGCAAACAGG